AAUAGUAAGUGUUUAAUUAUGGCACAUCCGGAUGGGUAUCUAGGUAUUUAACACAUGCAAGUCGUAUGUACACAUUUAGUGAUCAUGGCGUACUGGUCAGUAUCAUUGGGAAGGUGCCUCAAGAUCUAUGCGAAUCAUGGAUAUAUUAAAGGGUUAACCCCGUCUUGAGAUCCGCUCAAUGCCUAACAGGUAGUUGGUGAGGUAAUGCUUAACAAGCCUACGAGAGGAAGAGUAGGAUGAAAGUCUUAAACUCGACAUUGGAAAUGAAAAAGUCCAAAGCAUCAAUCGAUGCGCAGCAGUGAAGAAUAUUGGUCAAUGCACUAACGUGUGAACCAGUAACCUAGAUUCGAAUAUUCGAUAACAAACUUUUGAAUGAUGAUCUAAGUUUUAAUAGUCCUGUCCAAAUUCUGUGCCAGCAGACGCGGUAAGACAGAGAGGGCAACCCAUCGGAGUUAUAAAUUGGUGUAAAGGGUACGUAGCCGGUGAUGUUAUCACUAGAGUCUAAUGGAAGUAGAAACAAUACCUAGAGAAGGGCUGAUAUCUUAUGAUACUAGGGGGAGAACCAACGGCGAAAGCAUUCUACUAAGUAAAGACUGACGGUAAGGUACGAAGGCUAGGGCAUGAAUAGGAAUUAGAUACUCCAGUACUCCUAGCUGUAAACGAUGCAGAUUCAAGAUUAGUUAUAUCUAGCUAGUCUUAAUGCUAACGCGUUAAAUCUGCCACCUGUAUAGUAUAGUCGCAUGACCGAAAUACAAAUAAUUAGACGGCUUCUAAGCAAACGGAGUGAAGCAUGUUAUUUAAUACGAUAAUCCGCGUACAAUCUUACCACAUCUUGCAUACUGUCAAUAUCUGAAAAGAUGACAUGUACAGGUGCUGCAUGGCUGUCGCCAGUUAGUGCUAGUAAGGCCUAAGGUUAAUUCCGUUGAACUAACGCAAUCCUCACUGUAAGUUUAUACCUUGCAGUCUCAUUCUGAUAAAGAGUGAAUUUAGGAGGACUAUGACAAGCCCUCAUGGCCCUUAUGGUGUGGGCUAUAGACGUGCCACAAGAACAUAGACAGAGUGAUGCAAUCUCGAAAGAAGGAGCUAACCAUCAAAAUAUGUUAAUGUACGGAUUGUGAGCUGGAACUCGCUCAUAUGAAGUAGGAAUUCCGAGUAAUCGUGCAUCACCACGGCACGGUGAAACUAAAUCUUAGAAGUGUACUAACCGCUCGUCACGGGUUGAGAGAAGAAAAGUGAUGAAGUAGACUGAAGUUUAAUGCAUAUAAACAGCUAUAAGCACCUAAGGGUAAUUGCAUUAUAACCGAUGGUUACGAGUCGCCUACUUUGAUUGAUCUGAAGUCGAAACAAGGUAGUGUUAGAGGAAUCUGAUGCUGAUAGAUAAUUUUU
RNAcentral lists this ribosomal RNA (1386 nucleotides) under Hannaella oryzae. Its description in RNAcentral is "SSU rRNA". It matches the Rfam family "Bacterial small subunit ribosomal RNA". The record is from RNAcentral. Lineage: Eukaryota; Fungi; Basidiomycota; Tremellomycetes; Tremellales; Bulleribasidiaceae.